CUCUUCUUUAUCACACGUUAUUUCAUCCGUCGUAUUCUCAGUAACCCCAAACGAAUACUUCCUCCGGGUCCGAAUGGGUGGCCGGUUGUGGGUGCUCUUCCACUCUUAGGUUCCAUGCCUCAUGUCGAACUAGCCAAGUUAGCCAAGAAGUAUGGACCUGUAAUGUACCUCAAAAUGGGAACCUGUAACAUGGUGGUGGCUUCAACCCCGGAUGCCGCUCGAGCUUUCCUUAAGACCCUUGACUUGAAUUUCUCUAAUCGACCAUCCAAUGCUGGUGCCACCCACAUAGCCUAUGACUCUCAAGACAUGGUGUUUGCGGAGUAUGGUCCGAGGUGGAAAUUGCUUCGUAAACUGAGUAACCUCCACAUGCUUGGUGGCAGAGCCCUUGAGGAUUGGUCCCAAGUCCGGGCUGUUGAGCUAGGCCAUAUGCUUCGGGCCAUGUGCGAGUCUAGCCGAAAGGGUGAGCCAGUGGUGGUGCCGGAAAUGUUGACGUAUGCCAUGGCCAACAUGAUCGGGCAAGUGAUACUGAGUCGGCGAGUAUUCGUGACCAAAGGGUCGGAGUCGAACGAAUUCAAGGACAUGGUGGUGGAGCUCAUGACGUCCGCCGGCCUCUUCAAUAUAGGUGACUUUAUACCUUCUAUUGCGUGGAUGGAUUUACAAGGGAUUGAAGGCGAGAUGAAGAAAUUACAUAAAAGAUGGGAUGUACUUUUGACAAAGAUGAUGAAAGAGCAUGAGGAAACAGCUUAUGAACGCAAGGGGAAGCCUGAUUUUCUUGAUAUAAUUAUGGAUAACAGAGAAAACUCUGCAGGGGAAAGGCUUAGUUUGACCAAUGUCAAGGCGCUUCUGUUGGUAAGUCGAGUUUGAGUUUAUACUUUCCAAGUUCCAUAUUCGUAAAUUAAUGAUAACUAUGCUUGAAUUUUGCAUGGUAGAAUCUAUUCACAGCUGGCACCGACACAUCCUCAAGCAUAAUCGAAUGGGCAUUAGCUGAAAUCCUGAAGAACCCAAAAAUACUGAACAAAGCUCACGAGGAGAUGGAUAAGGUGAUUGGCAGAAACCGAAGGCUUGAAGAAUCCGACGUACUCAAGCUUCCCUAUCUUCAAGCCAUUUGCAAAGAGACCUUCCGAAAGCAUCCAUCUACUCCCUUGAACUUGCCUAGAGUGUCCACCCAGCCUUGCGAGAUCAAUGGCUACUACAUCCCCAAAAACACCAGGCUGAGUGUCAAUAUUUGGGCCAUUGGCCGAGACCCUGACGUGUGGGGCAACCCACUGGAUUUCACCCCUGAAAGGUUUCUGAGUGGGAGAUUUGCCAAAAUCGACCCCAGAGGGAACGACUUUGAGUUGAUUCCAUUUGGUGCUGGGCGAAGAAUCUGUGCUGGAACCAGGAUGGGGAUCGUGCUGGUUGAGUACAUCUUAGGCACUUUGUUGCACUCUUUCGACUGGAUGCUUCCUCCCGGUACUGGGGAAUUAAACAUGGAUGAGUCCUUUGGGCUUGCUUUGCAAAAGACCGUGCCUCUUUCUGCCAUGGUUCGUCCACGCCUCGCACCAACUGCUUAUGUUUCCUAAGCACAUCCCUUGCCUUAUCACUGCUCAUUUUUCCUACUUCUGCUGCUUGCGUUAUCUGAUAUUCAAGCUUGCGUUAUCUUUUAGUUUCAAUUCUACUCUAAAAACAAUCUUGCAUGCCUUUCCAUUCGAUCUUAUCCAUACCUACCUAUACUAUCAUACUAACCUUUAUUUAGGGUGGUGAGUAUUCAUUGAGUUGAGUCGAAUCAAAGUAAAAAAAUUUCGAGUUAAUCAAGUUGAUGAAUCUUAUUUUAGCAACUGAACUUAAUUUAAUAUUUUUUCGAAUCGAAUCGAGUCAAAAAAAAUUUAGUCAAGUCGAGUCAACGAAUUUUAUAAUUUAUACUAAAUGUUACGUUUACAUGAACCGAUUAUUUUAACUAGUAGACGAAGUAUAAAAUUAUUUAACUAUAUAAACAAUAUGAUAGUUUUGUCUUUAAAGUUAAUGAGUAAACAUUUAUCAAAAUGAUAUAGUUUAGCUUUUUAACUUAAUAGUUUUGACUUUUAACUUUAGAAAAUGUAAAAAUUUAUCAAAACUACGUAAUUUUACUUUUUCUUAUUCGGAUUUUCGGAUAACUCAAAUUGUAUAAUUCAUAUUUGAGAUAAACUGAAAAACUUAAAUUUUUAUUCAAGUUAAUCCGAAUAAGUUAAUGGCUUAGGAAGGCAAUGUAGUUGUAAUACCAUGUAGUUGGUCGGAGGUUGAAUUGUAUUAUUAUCUGUAUGUUAAAUUGAAGCUUAUCAUGUGUUAUGUUAGGAAGCUGAAUUUUCAGAUGAACUUAUGUUCCUUGGUUCUUUUCAUAUGUUACUGUGGCCAUAAAAUCCAUUCUUUUGUUAGAUAUUUCCUCCAUUCUUUUCUAAUUUUUAUGGGGUUAUAUUGUUGUUUUUCUGUACUCUAAACCCUAUCCUACCAAAAUGGCUGAACUUGAAAGUUACUAAUGUUGGUGCUACAAUAAUGAUUUGGAAAAUCUUGAAAAUGGAGAUAUAUACUUUUUAUUGUUUGGACCUAGAAAGCAAAGUGAGAAGGAAAAAAUUUAAAAAUUGACUGAUGUUUCUUUGGAAGGAAAAAAAAGCAAGAUCCCUGAGGUAUGGACUAUCAGUGCCUGUUCUUAAGUGCUAUUUGUUCUGUUGGUUAUUUAUUAUGAAUGUUGGAGAUGAGUUGGAGGAGGUAAGAUUUGAUGGGUCGUAACAAGAAAAAUAACCUAUUCUGUUAUACCACCCUUAAAAGUGCUUCCUUUUCUGGUGUAAUGGUUUUUACUGGUCUUCAAUGAUAUCUAGAAAUGGUUUUUAGAGCUAGCUGAUGUGGGCAGUUAUUUUGCUUAAGAUUUUCUUAAGGUGUUGUAACUUGAGGACCUUAUGAAAAUGAUAGAGAUACCAAGAGGAUCAUUGCAUGUAAAAGUGAGAUUGUGGAGAGUAUAAUCUGACAAAUGUGAAGCUGUACAAAUGGUUGAAGGAGUAUAGUAAAAUUGUUCAUCGGACUCAGUUAUUUGGAUGAGAUUUUAGUUCAACGGAGUUUCCCUUUUAAUUGUUUUACAAUAUUUUAUGCCUCUUCAUUGUUUUACAUUAUUUUAUGUAUUUGGUUAGGACCCAUUCUGCUUCUUCUCAUUGAUAGAAAAUAAUCCAUUAUAAAUAUCUGUGACAACUCUGAUUUCUAUUAUUAAGCAUAGCAGCAUGUUAACUAAUCUUUUUCACUUUUAUACUUAAAUUUUAUCAUAUCUAAUACUUUUGUUUCUAUUUCUUUGUUAUCGUUUUAGAUUCAGGUCAGGUGCAGAUUGAAGAGGAUAAAGUUUCUCUGGAUGUGAAUAAGAAAAGAGCGGUGAAAACACCAGCCCAGGUUAUAGUUCUUGAGAACUUCUAUAAAGGUAAUAAUUCUUGUCUUCUAAUUGAAAUGUUUUGUUUUUUCUGUUUCCAAAGGUUUUUGGUUCUUUUACAGACGAAAGAUUUGCUUCAGAUGAAAUGAAAGCAAAACUGGCUGUUCAACUAGGGUUGACACAAAAGCAGAUAUCUAGUUGGUUUUGUCACAGAAGGUUAAAAGACAAAAGGAGAGAUGACUACUACGCUAAUGUGCAACAUGAUUAUUCUAGUGGUGUUAUCCAGGAUCAUGUUAGCGGGCUCAGGCAAGAUUCUUGUGGCAGUAUUAAGCAGGGAGAUUACAGAAAUAUUGAUCUGAGGGAGGUAGAAAGUCGAAUAAUUCAUGGCCAAGGGUUUCCAGCUGCUGACCUCACAUACGAGCGUAGAAGUCAUCAAUAUCCAUAUGGCGUUCAGAUGGAGGAUCCAUCUUCUGAAAGUAGUCUGUCUUUGCACGAUCAGCUUUUCUUGAAAAGUGGGAAUCCUUAUGACAUGCACAUUUCAGCUAAACCUACACAAAAUGGAGCAAUUGUGCAGACAAACUCGAGUUCUAAAAGCAUAGGUUAUAAGCCAUCUGGAUAUUUGAAGGUUAAGGGUCAAAGUGAGAAUCCUGUUAUUAGUGCUGUCAAGAGGCAGAUGGGAAGGCAUUAUCGAGAAGAUGGUCCAGUGCUCGGAAUUCAAUUUGAUCCACUUCCUCCUGGUGCAUUUGAGUUCCCAAGUAGCCAUCCAGUCAACGGUAAGCCUAAUACCCAGAUCUGUUUGAUAUAUUGACAAUUUUCAUAGAAUCAUACAAGUUGCUUAAAUUUCUUUGUUUUUAUUGCUUGUUGCAUUGUUUUUCUGUCUGCUAAACAUUUAUUAGCUUCUGAAUUUAGAAAAUAAUUGUUAGAUUGAACUUCUUUCUACUGCCUUUAGGCAUUUGCUGUGCUGAUCAUGGUGAUGUCAGAAGCAAAUGCAUGAGAGAAAUCUCUUUAGUCUUUGAGAGAGAGGCAUUGGGGCAUAGUCCUUUUGUGUACAAGUUUUUUUAUUUUUAAAGUUGAGAUAAUGUUUUUUACAAUUUUAUAGCAGUUUAUAAAUAACAAAACAAAUUGUUCUACAAAAAAAAAAAAUUAUCCCUCCUCACUAAGGGCUAGUUUGGCAAUGUUUUUGAAAAGUGCUGUGAAAAAGUACUUUUGAAAAGUUUAGUUUAAAAUUUGAGUGUUUAGUAUUAUUGUCAAAAAGUACUUUUGAGAAAUAAAAUGUUCAUUGUAGACAUGUUAUUAUCAAGUAACAAAUAUGUAUUUAAAUAAAAUUUAAAUUAGUUAAUAUUAUUAUAUUUUAGUAAGAAUAUAAAAAAAUUAUUAUAACUUGUUGUUAAUAUUUUAAUAUAUGAAAUAGAAAUUUUAAAUAUUUGUAAGUAAUAAAUAUUAAUUACUUAUAAAAUUUAAUUAGAUUAUAUAAACUACAUUUUAAAUAUUUAAAUAUAACCAUUAAAGAUUUGUUUAAUUAGUAUUUUAAAAAAUAUUUUUAGUUUUAAUUAACGAUUUUAACACAUUUGUAAUUAAACACAAAAAAGGGAAAAGUACUAUAUUAUUAGAGGGUGAAAAAGUAAUUAAGCACUAAAAAUACUUUUGAGGGAGGAAAAGUUAAAAGUUUUAGUUUCUUCUUUUUAAAAGUGCUUUUGAAAGGCAUUUCUAAAAAGUCAAAAAUUCUAGCCAAAAACAAUUUGUUCUGCACAACUUUUCUUCCAAAAGUUCUUUUAGAGUCAGAAAUGUUUUUUUUAAGCAAAAAAACUGGCCUAAGAAGCCUAGACCUUAAUUCAAGUAAUAUCAAUGAUAAUUUAAACCAUCAUGACUAUCCCAUUAAAUAAUUUUAGUCGAGAUGCUGAGAAUUAUUUAUUCACUAUUUUCUUCUCUGUUUGCACAUAUGUAUACUUUUGUAUCUUAUCUUUUAAUCAUUUCCAUCUCCUUCCUUGAAUAUUUACUUUCUUAUUCCAUGUACUUUGUUCCUUUGAUGUUUCUUUAUUAUUAAAUAGCUAAUUUCCUAUAUGGUUUCAAUCUCCCAUUCACUUUCUUUUUCUUUUUUAUUUUUUCUGCUUUGAUCCCUCUAUCUCCAUUUGUUUUGUUUACCCUCAUAUCUACCCCCUUCCUUUCUCUGUUGAUCUUUCUUUUAUUUCCAUGGAUUUUUCCUUUUGAUUUCAAAAGCAUCUAUCUUUCUUGUUUUAUUGGCUUUAUUACAAGUUAUUUAAUGAUGAGAGUUAAAACUGCAGAGGAAUAAUGUUUCAAUGACAUAUGCAUUCCCUGUCUGUGGAAAAAAGGUGUAAGCCCUGCGGCGAAGUUUAUGAUUGUCAGAAAUUCAUAUUCCUAUGAGCUGUAUAUUUGACAUCUUGCUACAAUUUUCAGAUCAUUUUGGGUUCAAAUCAAUUGCGAGUUCAGGGCACUUAAGUUUAGGUUUCUCAGGUCAAAUCAUUACGAGCUUAGAUCAUUUUGGGCUCAUAUCAAUUUGGGUUUGGGAUGACUUUUAUGAUUAAAUUAGGUUUGAGUCCGGGUUGGUUGGGUCAAGUUAUCGAGUUUGGGUCAGAAUUGACAAGUCUAACAGAGAGUACACUCUUGCUAAUAUGCUUCCCUUGUAGUCUUGAAGCUUAACUUUGAUUAUCCUCAGCCUUGAAAUAUUUGAACUCAUCUAUAUCUUCCAUUGAUUGCAUGGCAGAGCUAAUCAAUAUUAGAGAUUUUCGGCAUCCCCACUGUUUAGAUAUCUCUAGAGUGAUGAAGCAGUCGAAGCCUAGGAUUGUAAGUGGAUUCUUGAUGCAUUUUUCAAAGUUUUAGCAUGCAUAAUGGACACCCAAACUAUAUUUAUAUUAUAUUUUGUAAUUUUAAGACCCUGUUAAACAGUGGUCACAAUAACUGAGAGUUAAUUUGUACUAGUUCAAUCAGUAUUUGAGCUAAAUAUGAUAAACUAUUUUUUCCUAAGGUGCCAUUUGCAAUCUUGUUGAAAGAGAACUAAAUUCAGGGUAAAGGUACAUGCAGCGGAGGCACACUAUAAUCUUGAUCUUCUAAAGAAUAUAGAUGUUCUAGGCAAGGCCUCUUUGAAGCUAGAUCAUCCCUUUUCAACAAAACAUCCACGUCAUUACUCACAUUAAAGAGCUCACAAAGAGCUUCCCUUAUAUCUUGAGGUAAUUCUUGGCAGUCCCUGCUGAUUUUGAUAGGUUUGUAGUCAUUCAAUGGGUUCUUAAGGUGUAGUGUCUUUUGGAAAGGCAGAUGAUUUAAGCAGAGCCAUUUGACCUUAAAACUGCAGCCCAAUGAUUACUUUUACCACUUCCUUGGCUCUAAACAUUAUAUCGCCUCAAUCCAACAGAAGACAUCAUUUGGGUAUAACCUUGGAAGAAACCACUCAUGUUGACACUAAAUAUUAAAAUAACAAAAACGAAAUUAUGAAAAGCAUCUUCUAAAAUUGGUUUUUCAUGACUUAAGUAGCCCAAAUUCCUUUUUCAAUUGAUAGUUGAAUAUUUUGGUGGUUCAAACUCUUAAUGAUGAAAUAUCUUGUAUUACACAAUUUGCCCCUUUUGUCUUCCAUAUGAGAAUACUCUAGGUCUUAUGCCUUAAAGAGAUAGCCAUCCUCAUUCUCUAAAUCAUCUAAAUUUCCCAUGUCAUUUUUCCAUUCAGUCAUAGAUGAAUCAACUGCAGAUGCAUUUUCUCUUGCAGUAUCAGAAGACAUAUCCUUAUUCACCUCCAGUCACAAUGCAGAUUAAUGAAAAAGAAAUCAAGCCAAACUCUAUUUAAGAGGGAAAACCAAACAGAAAGCAAAACAGAAAUGUUGAAGUUGAAGUUGAAGUUAAAGUGUAAGUGGAAGUACCAAGUGAUUGGCUAUGUAUUAGUGUCUUGGCCUUGCCUGUAGUAAAUGAACCCUAACUUUUGUUUCCCUUUUUUGUUUUUCUUUUUUUUUUCGAUUUUCAUUUCUUAGAAUUGAACCUUCCAACACGUUAGAAGGUGGGUUUACAACGAUUUAGUAUAGAAGAAGAAUAGAGUACUAAACUGAACUUUUCUAUUCCGAAUCUUGAAAGGAAUUCUUGCUAUGUUCAUUUUACAUCUCAAAUAUAUAAAGAGCUAGCAUAACUGCUCUUUCAACAAACUGUUAGCUAUAUUAACAAUUUCAGUUUCUAGCUAACUAACUGCAUUAACUAUAAACUCUAACAUCCACUCAUCUUCUCGACGGGAAAGACUUGAAGAAAAUUACGAAACUGAGUAAAAGACGUUACUGACUGUGGCUUGGUGAACACAUCAGCCACUUGAUCACAGGCGGGAACCUUACCAACCAUAAGCGAUCUAUCCGCAACUUUCUCACGUACAAAAAACAGAUCUAGCUCUACAUGCUUGAACUUAGAAUGUAGGAUAGGAUUGGCUGCAACCUCAACUGCACUUGAGCUAUCGCACCAUACAUUUGGAGUAUCAGCAGACUUAAGCUGUAGUUCUUGAAGUAACGAAAGGCAACUUCACUUGCGGCUGCGACAAGGCUCCUGUAUUCUGCCUCUGUCAUAGACCGCGACACCACUUGCUGCUUCUUAGAGACCAUGACACGAGAGUUUGUUCAAAGUACAUACAGUAUCCUGAAGUUGACCGCCGAUCAUCGAAAUCCAAACCCCACUUGGCAUCGGUAUAUCCAAUCAAUGACAAUUGAGCAGACGGAUGAACGGCUAUCCCAAAAUCAAGAAUGCCGUAAAAAUACCUCAAAAUGUGUUUCAGUACUACCAUAUGAGUAGUAGUAAGAUUAUGUAUGAACUGACAGAUCUGAUUUACUGCAUAUGCAAUAUCGGGCCUAGUUAGAACAACAUAUUAGAGAGCACCAGCAAGGUUAUUGUAUUCAGUCGGGUCAUUCAACCAUUCGCCAUUAUCUUUAGACAUAGUAGAUGAGCUGACCAUCGACGUAUGAACACUCUCUGCAUUGGUCAUCUAACACCGCGCAAGAAUGUCACGGAUAUAUUUCUUUUGACAUAAAUGUAGACACCAGGAUGAGUGAGUAACUUCUACCUGAGAAAAUAGUGAAGAAUGCCGAGAUCUUUAAGCAAAAAUUUGUCAUUUAACAUUCGAACAAACCAAUCUAUAGUAGUGAAUGAACUUCUGGUAACAAUAAUGUCAUCGACGUAUACAAGCACAUAUAGGGUAGAAUCAGACUGGAUUCGAACAAAUAACGAUGCAUCAUAUUUAGACCCAACGAACCCGAUAAAGAUGAGAAAUUGCUUCAACUUCUCAAACGACGCACGCGAAGCUUGAUGAAAAAGCUUUCUUCAGGUGACACACAAAAUGUGUACCUUUGGAAUCACACUUAACAUGCCCCGGAGGUUAUUGCAUAAACACCUUAAUGUCAAGAUCACAAUUUAAGAACGCAUUAUUUACAUUAACCUGAGGAAGUGGCCAUUCUUUUGAAACAGCAACGGAUAGAAUAACUCGGAUGGUAGCAGGUUUCACCACUAGACUAAACGUUUCUUUGAAAUCACAUCCAGGAACUUGAGAACAACCCUUAGCAACUAACCGAGCUUUCUUGCAGGUAAUGAUACCAUCAAGAUUUCACUUUAUUCUAAAUAGCCAUUUGCAGCCGAUGACCUUACGAUUAGGUGGUAGGUAAACAAGUUCCCAGGUAGAGUUGUGAAUAAGAGUAUCAUACUCAGCCUGAGCAGCAGCCCGCCACUCGGAGGUACUUCUUCAAUUUUAGAUGGCUCAACAUUCAGAGCUCACGGUUUGAAAAUACCUGCUUUAGCCCUAGCUACCAUAGGAUGAGUGUUGGUAACAGGAAAAAGAGAAUCCGGACUACUAUGAGAAGAUGAAGUAUUAUCAUUAGAUCUCAUGGAACAGGGAGCAUCGACAAGCAAAGGAAAAUCUGGACUGGGAGCAUCAGUCGGUGGUGAACAGGAGUGCUGAAACUCAGAGACCAUCUUAGAACCUAUCGAAAAAGUGUCAGCUUGAUACGAAACCAGUAGAAUAGCAGAGACCUCAAGAGGUCGAGAAGAGAUUUGCCGAACAAGAGGAACACCCAUGAAGCAGUAGCUUUUGAUACUGGAACAGAACCUUCUGAAGCAGACUCAGAUGAAAGAAACCUAUUCUCAUCAAACAUAACAUGUCGAGAGAUGACUACCUUACUGUUUGGUAACAAGCAUUGAUAACCCUUGUGUUGAGAGCUAUACCCCAAAAAGGUAGAAGGCUGAGACCGAAACUCUAAUUUAUGUGCCAAAAAUGGUCGUAAAUAUGGAAAACAACAACAACCAAACACUCGUAGAUGAUCGUAUGUGGGAUCAUGCCCAAAGAGAGCCCUAAAUGGAGAUUCUCCUUGUAAAACUACUAUAGGAAGUCGAUUAAUGAGAUGCACUACACAACAAAAGGCAUACCUCCAAUAUUCCAUGGAGAGAUUUGCUUGAGCUAACAACACGAGGCCUAUUUCAACGACAUGCCGAUGCUUACGCUCAGUCACUCUAUUUUGUUCAGAAGCAUAGGGACAAGUUAAUCGAUGAAUAAUCCUCUGAGAGGCUAGGAAAUACAUGAAGGCACGAUACUCGCCUCCCCAGUCACUCUACAGUUGUUUAAUAGAUUUUCCAAACCGUGUUUUGAUUAGCUGUUGAAAACUAGUGAAGCACUCGAUAGUCUAUGAAUUUUGAUGAAUGAGAUAAAUCCAAGUAAACCGAGUACACAUAUCAAUAAACGAUACAUAAUACCACUUAUUAUCACAAGCAACAGACGUUGGUCCCCAAAGAUCAGAUACAAUCAAUUCAAAAUGAGCAUAUGUAGUGGUUGAAACAGAAAAUGGCAAUUUAUGUGACUUCCUUUUCUGACAUGCAAUACAUACACCAUCAAGACAGAAUUUAUUUGAACCAAUACCAUAUUUUUCUAAAACAUUUUUAACUACAGAAGCACACGGGUGACCAGGACGGUUAUGCCACAAAGAGAACAUUGAACAAACCGCAACUUUAUUUUGUAUCCCAAUAUGAACAGCAGAAGAAACUUCAUCAGAUUGAGUAGACACCCUUCAGUAAAGUUUCCCAGGUCUUGAUGUCCUUAAUAACACAAUACGUUGGAUAAAACUCAAGAAAACAUCGUUGUCAUUAGCAAACUGAGACACAGAUAAAAGAUUCUUUCGUAUGCUUGGUACACAUAAAACAUUAAAUAACCGUAGCAAUUUAGACUGAGUAAGUAAUACCCCAUUACCAACCAACGAAAUGACAGCAGGUGUUCCAUCACCCAUUAGUAGAGGGGACGUACCUGAAUACGGCAUGGUAUCACUGAGCGCAAAAGUGUCGCGAUAUACAUGAUUACUAUCAUUGAAGUCGGGGUACCAUGACGCGGUGCCAACUGGCAUAGGAAUAUAGGAUUCAGUGCAAUCUCCGUUAGACCCGUACAGAGUAGUAUUUAUAUGGGAACCAAAAAAAUCAGAGUAGUCGGAGGCAUGUAAGUCGCCUAAGCAAGGAAGACUAAUGCAGGGGUCAAACCCAGUAUACACCCGGGCUCGUGGUUUAGUCUACCAAGUAACGGAGGUAGGACCAACAUUUUGUCCCGACCCAGGUGAUGGGCUAAUUUGAACAUAGUUAGAAGCGGGCUCAAACGGAUUUGAGGAAGCAAAUGGCCUAGCACCAACAUUUUGGCCCCCAAAGGUAUUCGGCCCAACAUGAGUUGGCCUAGGUGGAUUCAUCACCUGUAGUACAGGCUUAUAUGAUGCAUAUGGCACCAACAGCCCACGUGCCAAGUAAGAUGGUAUUCCAUGAUUCGGUCCACCAUAUGGACCCAUAAUUCCAAAAUUAUUUUGACCACUGUCCAACUGAUUUUGACUAAAGGCAUAUGCAACCCUAGGGUUCUUUGGUUGCGGCAUCCACCCCUCAUGCACCAGCUCAUCAUGCGGCAAUGCCCAAGCAGUAGCAGAGGACGACCCAAAUGCCGGAAGAAAAGCUAAACAGGGGGCACGGGCAAAUCACAUUGAUGCAACAUUGGAGGCCCCGACAGUGGCGGAUUAGAGUCCCAAUGAUACCGGUAAAAAUACCGUUAAGCGAGGUAGUUAAACCUCUUACAGAUCUAACAUUAAGACUGCGAUCAAAAACUCCGCCCUUGUCCCUGAGAAAAUGACUGGCCUCUAUGGACAGUCUCCUUCACCACUUGCGUUGGUGUGUUUUCGACGAUAUUGGUAUGGAGAGGAACAUCAUGGAUAGCACGAGCUUGACGGUUCUCACAUUUAACAAGGGUAUCGACCAACCUUUGGAAGGGCACAGCAGUAGUUGACAAUGAAAACAAAUAAAUAAUGGCCUCAAAUCCGAAGAAGACCGGUAAAUAUCACUUCCUUCUUCUCCUUAUUCGAAAUUCGUGAACCUGAAGUCUCCAACAACGUACACAAAUUCUUAAUCUGAGCUAAAUUAGUUUUAAUAGGUAGAUUACCUUUUUUAAUAAGUGUAGUUCAUGACGGAUGUGCGAAUGUUUGGCACUAGUGUCCACCACAAACAGAUUCGUUGACGUGGUCUAAACGUCGCAUGUCGAUUGAGCAUCAGUGAAGGAGGUUUGGUAAGUAGUACUGAUCCUGGAGAGAAGCCACGAUGUUAGAAGACAAUCUUGUUGCUUAAACACUUGAGCCGACGGAUUUGGUGCCAGAGAUCCGUGUGGUGCUUGUAUAAACCGAGACGGUGGAGGUAAGGUGCCAUCGAGAAACCCUAGAAGAUCAUAGCCAUCUAGAACAAGUCUUACUUGUUGUUGCCAUUGGAUGUAGGUUCCAUCAUCAAGUUUGACAACAUCAUGACGCGGAAACGAAUUGACCACACGAUUACUAUUGAACAAAGCAUAGCUCGGCUCAGCAGUGGCGGAAUCAAUAGAAGUCAUGUUAGCCAUAGGUCCUGGAUUAGCCAACGAAUAAUACCACGUUAGAAGGUAGGUUUACAAUGAUUUAGUAUAGAAUAAGAACAGAGUACUAAACUGAACUUUUCUAUUUUGAAUCUUGAAAGGAAUUUUUGCUCUAUUCAUUUUACAUCUCGAAUAUAUAAAGAGCUAGCAUAACUGCUCUUUCAAUAAAUUGUUAGCUGUAUUAACAAUUUCAGUUUCUAGCUAACUAAUUGCCUUAAUUGUAAACUCUAAAAAUAUAGGAUAAAAUUUACAUUUAUCAUUGAUAAGUCAUAAUUUAUACAUAUUUUUAUCUCAUGCUUAGCACAUAUUUGGAUGAAUUAUCAUUAGAUUUAUGGAAUUUGAUGCUCUUAAUCCUUUGAUUUUAUGUUUUAUACUUAGGUGAGCAUAGGAGAGUAAAAAGAGUGAGAAACGGGCCAAAAAUGGAGAAAAUGGGUCAACGUGGGAAAUCAACACGGCCUGGACUUCUUUACACGGGUAGACCACAUGCCCUUCUAGUUUUAGCAAACUCUAGCACGGCCUGGACUUCCUUACAUGGGUAGACCACAUGCCCGUGUCUAUUCAACAGAAUCUAACACGGUUGGAAGCACUUACACACGGGCGUGUCCCGUCGAGCCCAAGUUUAGUUCUAUUCGGAAAAGGGCACUCUUGAGGGUUUGGAAGCAUUCUAAAGCCUAUUUAAACACCCUAGAGGAAUCACUUAGGGGAAACGCGGAGUAGGAGGGAAGGAACUACUCGAAGAAAGCCGAUUGAUCCAUCUCAGAAGCCGGAUUCUCCUUCAAGACUGAAGAUCUCCCUUCACUUUCCUUCGAGUUUUUUAGGUUUCUUUAUAUUUUGUUAUCAUUAUUCUUUUGAGAUGUUUUCUUUUACACUUAUGAACUAAAUCCCCUAAAUACCUAAGGGGAAUGAAACCUAAGACGGAUCUUGUUAUUAUUUUCUGAAUUAUAUGAUAAAUAUUUGAUUUGAUCUUAAUUAUGUGUUCUUAAUUCUUGCUUUAAUAUUCCAGGAUAUUGAUUCAAGUAUUGAUGUGCUUAUUCAGAGGAGCAAAAGUCUCUGUCUAAGAGUAGAUCUAGCAUAAUUAAGCGGAGUUGAUUGCACCCCUAGACAUAGGGCGACAUAAAUCUGCCGGAUUAGGGUCAAACCUAAUAAGGGAAUCCAUAGAUCGAGUUAAUGCAACACUAGGGGUUUUAAUUAGAAAAUGGAUUUCAAUUAAUCAACCUAAGGUUAGACGUUGUUAGUCUCGAGAGAGAUAAUAAUAUAAAUUAGGAAUUUCUACGGAUCAAGUCAAAUGAAUAAAUCGUCUAAUUUAGAGUCAAAUAACAAGUUAUGUCUAGGUGGAUUUUUCCCUUGGGUAUUGUCUAAAUCAGUCAGUUUUCCCAAAAGUAUUUCCCUAAUUUACUUUUUGUGCAUUCUUAGUUUAGUUAAUUAGUUUAGAUAAAACAAAUCCCCUUAUUUUUAUGCUAGAUAAUAAAAAGAAGGUUAAUACUAGUACUUUUAGUUCCUGUGGGUUCGACAUUCCGGUCUUGUUAUAAACUAUACUACUGCUCGAUAGGUGCGCUUGUCUUUUUUGUGAUAAUAGUUAGUUUUCGAGUACGAUCAAUCAUAAAUUUAAAAACUUAUCACGAGACGAUCACGUCAAUCAUUUCAAAAAAUAUAGUUUAAGUUUGACCCCAAAAAUCUCUGGAUUUUCCUUGAAUUAAAACUUACAAAUUUUAGCAACAUAUAAGUAGUCAAAUUCCCUAUACACAAGAUUUGUAAGAAAGUGAUAAAGUCAAACUUAGAAGCUUCUUUUUUAAUGUUGUAAUUUAAUAUUUGUGAAAAAUUAAAUUUAUUUAAAGAAAUCGUGAAUAAUAUCAAUAGUUGUUGGGUAUAAUUGUAAAAUAUAUUACACUUUUAAAAGAAGGAUUUAGGUUCAAAUUUUAGAAAUAAUAUUAUUGAGAGAGACAACAAUAGUCAAAAAUCUAGAAAAGAUCAAUAUUUAUGAACCGUAAAAUGAACAUAAACAAUAUAUUGUUUUCGAAAAGAAAAUAAAUAUUGAAUAAUGAUCGUAAUUAGAUAAAUAAUAAUAUAAUUUUAAUCUUUUUAAAAUUACUAUAAAAUAUAUAUAGAUAAGAUAAACAAACAAAAUUAACAAGUAAUAAUUUAAAUUUGGAAGAACAAUUUAAAAUCAUUUAAUAUUUAUCCUAAGAAAUUUUCCAAAAUUAUUGAUCACAUUUAUCCAAAACUUUGAAAUCAUAUUAUUAUUUAAUAAUAUUAUUCUGUGUAUAUAUAUGUGGACAAACUCGCACACGUAAGACUCUCAUUCGUCUUUGUCGUUUGCCCUUUUUUUUAAAGCAUCUGAAUAAUCCUGUCACUCUUCUAACUUGUAUUCUAUUAAUUUUUUAGGUUGAUUAAUUAUUUUAUGAAAUUAUAGAAUAAAAUAUUAAAGAUUAAAAUAUGCUUUUAAGUUUAUAUACAUUUUGUAUAUUUAGAAUUUAGUUCUCUACUUUCUGAAUUUAAAAAUUUAAGUGUAAUAGUCACCACUAUUAAAAUUAUUCUACUAAAUUCACUACUAUGAUAUUUUAAAUAAAAAAUCGUAUAAUAAUAAAAAUAAUAUUGAAUCAAAUUAAAUUAAAAAAUAUAAAUUAAAUAUUAAGUUUUAACAUUAUAUAAGGGUAGUCUUAUAACUUAAAAAAACAUAAGAAAUACCUAAAAAAAAGUGUUCAAGUGGACUACUUAAUAACAUUAGAAAUUAUAAGGAUUAAAUUAUGUUAAAAAUUAAAUAUAUAAAUUUAAAUUUAAAUUUAGACAUAUUAAAAGGACUAAAACUAAAAUUUAAUUCUUUUAUGAAAUGCAAAAAAAGAAGAGAGAGAGAAAGGGAACAAUUAGGUGUGUGCCACGUGACAAAUGAGAGGUGAAAAAAUCAUUGCUUUUUUAAUUUAUAUCUAAAUAAACUUUUAAAAGAAAGAGUCUGAUUAAAUAAAUAAAUAACAACUUAUUUUAGUGUUGUUUUAAUAUUUUAACUUUUAAAUAUCUAAUUUUGUUUCAUUUCUAUGUACAAUAGCAACCUUAAAUUUGGAGUAAAAAAAAGCUUAAACUCUUAAAAAGGAUAAAGUUGUUUUUUAUCAUUUUAAAUUUGAGAACUUAUUACCAUUUAAAUAUAUUGGUAAUUUAAAUUCACGAUUUGACUAUUGAAGUAUUUUUAGUUUCACACUUUGAUACUUAAAUAUUUUUUGUCUCAAUUUGGUACUUAAAAAAUCAAUCAUUUCCUAAUUUGGAAUCUAAAGUAUGCAUCCAUUAUAUUUUUUAGAACAUUUUUUUACAGAUGUUAAAAAAAUAUGAUAGCCAAUCACAAAGUAUCAUGCAGCGGCUUUAUAUAAAAAUACAAACAUUUUCUUCUAUUAAAUGUAUAUAUACAUUAAAAAAAUAUGAAAAAUAGAAAUAAAUAUAUAAAAAUUCAAAAAUAAACAUAAAAUCUAGAAAAAAAAUAUAUAAAUUUAAAAAUAUUUUUUAAAAAUAAAAUAAAUUAGUUGAAAUUAAUAAUAUUAUUACAAAAAAGGUAAAAAAUAUUUAAAUAAGCUUUAAAAUAUUUUUUAUAAAAGUCUCAAAAUGUAUUUAAAUGUCAAGGUUUUUUUGCAAUUACUUGAAAUUUAAAUAAUUUUUAAAUUUUUUUAUAUAUUAUUUUGCCUUUUUAUAAUUUAAAAUUAUAUAUUUUAUAAUUUUAUAUAAAAAGAUUUAAAGUUUUUUUUAUAUAUUAUAUAAGAUAUUUUUACAUCUUUAGUCAAUAUAAUAUAUAAUAUUAAAAUAAAAAACCCUAAAAGAGCCAAGAGUGCUCUCCUUCGUAACCUAGCGAAAACAGUGGAUGUUGUGGCUUGAGAGGAUGGAAAGUGGUGGCGAAAAGGGGUUUGGGGGAGACGAAAUCUUUCUUCUAGCAGAAGAGCUUAUUCAACUACCAGUCAAGAGUUCAAGGGUGGAACCAAACGACAAGCCAACUCUAAUAUGUACAAUCUGGAUAGAGAAAUCCUACAAUCCAGGCAGCUUUAGGGCACAGAUGAAGAGCAUAUGGAAACCAAAGAAAAAAUUUGAGACCAAGCAUGCCGGGCAGAACCUUUUUUUGAUUAUGUUUGAAACUGUUGAAGAUUUAGAAACUGUUUUGGAAGGUCAACCAUGGUUAUUUGGGACGAAUUUAAUUAUCAUGGAUCGUUUAACAAAACCGAUAGAAAGAAGGCAGAUCAAUCUUGUCUCAUCCUCGUUUUGGAUUAAGAUAGGACCUUGCUUACCAGAGCUUGACAGGAAAGAUCUCUUGUAUGCUAUUGGAGUUACCUUUGGUGGCAUAACCAGAUCUAAAAUUAAUGGUGAGUUUUGUCGUCUUAGAGUUAAUUUAGAUGUGCAAAAACCUAUUAGGAGGGGUAUUUUUGUCUCAACAGAUAAUCGAAGUAAAUCUUGGAUUCCUUUUAAAUAUGAAAGAUUACCUACUUUCUGUUUUGGCUGUGGAAGAAUGGGGCAUGGCCUUCAAGAAUGCCAAGUGAUAAAACCUGCAGGAAAACUUAAAGUUAGAGAUAACCCACCUUUCUCUUUAGCGCUGAAGGCAGAAUUAAAUUUUCUUGGAAGAGAAAGUUUACAAUUUAAUGUUCUUUCAAAAAAGCUGCAACCCCAAUGUUCAUAUACAGGAAAUUCAAAGGAGAGCAAGAAUCGCAUGCGCAAGAAAAAGAGAGUACUGAUAUGCCUUUGGAAAAAAGGGUAGUACACAGUUGAUAGAAGCAGAGGAUGCGAAAGAAGGACAAAAGGAAGAGAUAAUCGUUGAAAGGGCAGUCGCUGGUAAUUAUUAUAUAGAUGAAGAUAUGCUGAAACCAAUCAAGAAAUCCAGUUGGAAAAGAAUUAACUUAGAAAGAGGGAGAAUAACUUAUGAGGGAGAGAACAAUUUGAAGAAAAGGAAAUCAGCAGAGGUUGAAGCUGAUAAGUGUCGUAUAGAAGGAUUCUCGGAUGAUACAGUAAAAAAGAUGAGAUAUGGUGGACAGGAUUUGGAGUAUGAUGAUAGAAUAUAUUUGAUGGAAGAUAAUUUCAACCAAAAAAGAUGGAAGAUAAUUUCAACCAAAAAAUAUCGGCGGUUGCCAUGAGGCAAGCCGAUCGAACGCAAUGAAAAUAAUAUGCUGGAAUAUCCGUGGACUGGGGAAUCCACGGGAAGUGAGAAGGCUUCGAUUUUCGCUGAAGCAACAAAAUCCCCAAAUGGUCUUAUUUAUGGAGACUAAAAUUGAUGAGAAGUGGAUGAAGAAAAUUAGGAGGAGAUGUGGUUUUGGAAAUGGGAUUGAUGUCAGUGCAGAAGGGUCUCGUGGAGGAAUUUGUCUAGCAUGGAAAGAAGAUAUCCAGGUUAGUUUAAAAACAUUCUCAUUAACUCAUAUUGAUGUGCUGGUGAAAGAAGAGAAUAUUACUGAGGAAUGGAGGUUUACAGGCUUCUAUGGGUCACCUUAUAUACAGAAUAAAAAUGUCUCAUGGAAUCUAUUGAGGAACUUGGGUAAGGAAUCGGAUCACCCUUGGCUAGUGGGUGGGGAUUUUAAUGAAAUAAUGUACUCUUUUGAAAACAGCGGGGGUCAACCAAGAGAGGAGAAGAGGAUGAAAGCCUUUCGUGAGGUUCUAGAAGAAUGUCAUCUAACUGAUGUGGGAUAUACGGGGGUAUGGUUUACAUAAGAAAGAGGGAAUAUGGCGGAAACAAAUAUCAGAGAGAGAUUGGAUAGGGAUGUCGCAAAUGAAAAAUGGAUAAAGCUUUUUCCAAGAGGUAAUGUUCAUCAUUUAACAUCUUCAUUAUCUGAUCAUUGCCCCCUUCUAAUUAAUACAACAACUGGAUAUAAUUUUAUGGGAAUUCCAAAUUUCAAAUUUGAGGCAUGGUGGACUAUGGAGGAAUCACUUGAACAAGAGGUCAAGAAAAUGUGGGAGUCAUCAAAUGGUUCGAUUGUUGAUAAAUUGCAAAGGUUGCAAAUUAGUUUGACAAGAUGGGCAAGGUCGAUAAAGAAGAAGAGGGACGAAUUGAAGAAUAAGCUUAUAAAAGAACUCGGAAACCUAAUGGAAAAGGAAAUAGAUGAUGAUAUACUGGCAAAGGAAAUAGAUACUAGAAUUCAGCUCAACAUGGAGAUAGAUAAAGAUAAAUUUUAUUGGGAGCAACGAGUACGAGCUAAUUGGCUCCAAUUGGGAGAUAGGAAUACAUCCUUCUUUCAUAGGUUUGCAUCCACACGAAGAAGGAUAAACACAAUUAGUAGGCUGGAAGCAGAUGAUGGUAAGGAAAUCUACAAAGAAUCAGAAAUAAGAGGGGCGACUACAACUUAUUUCCAGAAUCUUUUUACAUCUAAUGGUGUGGGACAUCUAUCUCAUCUUUUAUCAGGGAUUUAUAAUAGUAUUACGCAAGAUAUCAAUGCAACUUUAUUGGCGAAGUAUUCAGCAGAAGAAGUGUAUAUGGCACUAAAAAUAAUGGGGCCCUCUAAGGCACCAGGCCAUGAUGGCUUCCCGGCUUUAUUUUUCCAAACUUUUUGGCACAUCGUGGGACCAGAUAUCGUAGAUUUUUGUUUAGGUGUCCUAAACAAGGGGAAGGAUUUUAGAUUUUUCAACCAAACGGAAUUAGUACUUAUUCCAAAAACUUCUAAUCCUACAAGUCUUGUGAAUUUUAGACCAAUUAUCCUAUAUACAGUUAUAUAUAAAAUUAUCGCCAAAACAAUUGUGAACCGCUUUCAAGAAUUUAUCGGAAGAUACAUUGAUGAUGCUCAAAGUGCUUUUGUCCUAUGCAGGUUAAUAUCAGACAACGUGUUAUAGCAUAUGAGUUUUUACAUACACUACAACAAAAAUGGAUAGGGAAAAAGGGAUUCAUGGCAGUGAAACUAGAUAUGAGUAAAGCUUAUGAUAGAGUGGAGUGGGGUGUUUUGGAAGCAAUAAUGCUUUGAAUGGGAUUUGCAGUAGAAUGGGUGAAGUUAGUUAUGAAGUGUAUAUCCACUGCCUCGUAUGUAGUAACUAUAAAUGGGAGGCGUGGUGAUACUUUCAAACCUACAAGAGGACUCCCGCAAGGUGACCUACUUAGCUCUUUUCUUUUUCUAAUAUAUAGUGAAGGGUUAUUUACUUUGAUUAGGCUGGCGAUGAAAAAGAGAUUAAUAAAGGGUGUUAAGGCUAGUAGAAGAGGACCAGCAAUUUCACAUCUACUAUUUGCAGAUAAUUGUAUUUUGUUUGGUGAAGCUACAAAAGGUAGAACAAAGAUUUUAAAUGAUAUUUUAAGAGGAUACGAUCGAUGCUCCGGUCAAUGCGUAAACUUCAACAAAUCAACCAUUUUCUUUAGUUCAAAUAUGACAGAAAGGGACAAAGAAGAAAUCUCAAAUGAUAUGGGAGUGAAGUGUUCGACGAAUAUAGAGAAAUAUUUAGGCCUCCCUAAUGUGGUGGGUAGACGAAAGAAUGUGUCGUUUCAGAAUCUUAAAGAUAGGAUUAGGCAUAGAAUUGAAAACUGGAGCACAAGAUUAUUAUCUCAAGGAGGAAAUGAGGUGUUUAUAAAAUCCGUACUCCAAGCUAUACCAACCUAUGCCAUGACAUGUUUUCUUUUACCUAAGGCACUUUGCAGGAUUUUGAAAGUAUUUUUGCUCGUUUCUAAUGGCAAAAAGGAAAAGGGAAAAGAGGAAUUCAUUGGUGCUAAUGAAAAUUUAUGUCCUGUCCUAAAGUCAAGGGAGGAAUGGGCUUCAGAAAUAUGGCACAAUUUAACCUUUCAUUACUAGCCAAGAAAGGAUGGAGGAUGAUUAAUAAUUAGAAUUCUCUUGUUACACAAGUUUUUAAAGCUAAAUAUUUUUCGAAUGAUGGUUUUUUAAAUUUCUGAUUGGGAAACUCUAGCUCUUACGUAUGGAAAAGCAUAUGGGCAGCUAAAGGUAUCUUGGAAAAAGGAUUAUGUUGGAAGGUUGGUACAGGUCGUAACAUCUUUAUUAAUCAUGAUGCUUGGAUACCAGACGCGGCAAAUUUUAGAUUAUCAACAGAGAUUAAUGUUAUGUGUGAUACUAAAGUAAGUGAUUUGAUCGAUAGUACAACAGAAUAUGAAAUAAGGAGCUAAUUCGUAAUACUUUCUCAGAAGAGGAUGCUGCAAAAAUCUUUCGUAUUCCCUUGGCACAAGUAUUUCACGAUGACUUCCUCACAUGGGGGCAGAAGCUUCGGUCAAAUUCUCGGCACGUAGCGCCUACAAACUAUUACAAGUCUCUGAAGGAAUUUCUAGAGCUUAUGCUUUACAAACCAUCUAUAGGGACUUUUACAAAAAAACUCUGGCUACUAAACCUACUAGCAAAAAUAAAGUUUACAAUCUGGAAAAUUUCAUGGAACUACCUGCCUACAAAAACUAAUCUACUAAGUAGAAAUUUAGCAAACAAUACAAACUGUCCUCGGUGUGAAGGAAUGGCUGAAACCAUUGACCAUCUAUUCCGAGAAUGCCAUGUUACAGUGGAAGUAUGGACAGUGUUAUCCAUCCAGAAUAUAGUCAUGGUUCAAAAUAUGGAAUUCUUACAGUGGCUCACCUGGGUUUUUGAGUAGUUCACUCGUUGCGAAUGUAGUCUUUUCUACUGCGCCCUUUGGGCCAUCUAUGGAGACAAAAAUAAAAGAAUACAUGACGAAAAGGUUAAUACGGGCAAGGAAAUUGCAAGCUUCAUUAUCAGCUACAAUAAUGAGAUUACUGGUUUUGGAAAAAAAAGACUUCAGAAAGAAAAGUAGACAACAGUACAUGGCAGUUCCACCUUAUGAGUUCGUUAAGAUCAAUUUUGAUGGUGCGUAUAAUGAAAGAACACAACAAUCGGCCACUGGUGUAACGUCCCCUAACCCUAUACCGUCACCGAAACAGGGUUACGAGACAUUACCAGUCAGUACAGUCCAAUUCCAGUCAUUAAUUAAAAUAAAUAUUCACAAACAUCCUAGUUUUAAGAUGUCGUCCCUUUAAUGGGCCUUUGCGGUCCAAUAUGAACAGUAAAUUCAAUUCGGGGCUAAUUUAGAAUCACUACGAAUUUUUAGUAAAUUUCAAAAUUCAUACUACAUACCGUUGCCAACCAUAAUUUACUCAUUUCAUCAAUACUUCUACAACCUAAAUGACUCUCAUUAAACAUCCUGGGUACAUGCCACUAUCAAUACUCAACAUACUUUACCUUAAUGAAUUCGGGAUCAUCCUGGGAUGCUGAUUCAACGUACUAUCUUUACUUAACCUGCGCACGAAAACAAACCGUACGCUGAGUAUGGUAUACUCAGUGGUAUUUCUAUAAUCCGAACAAUUUAUAAUAUAACAAAUACUUAAGAUCAUAAUAACAAUUACAAUUAUUCAAUUAUUUAUUCAUAGAUAAAUUUCAACUACUUACCAUAUAAAUUUUAUACAAAUCAUAUAAUAAACACAAUAACAUAAUUGUUCAAUUCUUAACUAAAUCCAUUAUUAUUUACUCCAUUCUUUCACUUACUAUUCGGUAUAGCUUUCCUUAAUUUAUUCACAAUUCAAUAUCAUUAAACUAUAUUCAACUAUACACUUAUCAAUCAUAUUCCAUUUUAAUUCAUUUCAAUAACAAUCAAUUUCAUUUAUAUCAUAUCAACUUACUAUCCCUAAUAGCUUUCACUAUAAACAUACGAUUCAUAUAUCUCAAAUCACAUUUCAAUUCAUCAAGUGGCAUCAUAUAUCAUCAAUUCGAACUCCAAUCAUUUCAUGAACCUUUGGUUCAUAUUUUCAAUUUCAUAUAAAUUUUCAAUUCUCAAUUCAAUUUCUCGUUUCAUUUCAAUAGCUUGAUCAAUCAAAUUUAUUCGAUUUAUCUUUCACUUAGUUACCCCUAUUAACAAACCCGGACUUUGACGGAUACACGGAUUCCAACUCAAACACACCAGUACGGCACAUUGUGCCUAAAACGAUACAUAGUACCUGAUCAGAGUACGACACAUAAAGUGCCUAAAAUGACACACGAGGUGCCUGAUACGACACACGAGGUGCCUGAAAUACGACACAUAAAGUGCCUGAUCAGUAAAGCCGGCAAAUCCCGUACACUUCCAGAUCCUAUGGCAUGCCAAUUAUAUCCGACUCAGCCCGACUAGUUAAUAGGGUAUUUCAUUCACUUUCUCAAUUUAAUAAUUCUUUCAUCAAUAUACCAUUUUGAUAAUCACAUAUAUUCACCCAUUUUCACAAUUCAUACAAUUUCAUUCAAUUCAACAAUAUAUUUCAAUUAUUCACAUUAAUUCAUAAUUCAAUACAAUUCAAUUCACUUUUCAAUAUCAAAUAUUCAAAUAUCACAAUCUCAUAUAUUCAUAUCAAUUUCCUCAUAUUUCCAAUCAAUAUAUUUUUCAAUAUAACAUUCAUUCAAUAUUCAAAUUUCUACAUAAAUCAUAUAUAUUAUAUAAUUCAAUCAAUAUAAAUUCAAUCAAAAUAAUUUCAAUAAAUAUAAAUUCAAUAAAUUCAUCGCAUACCAAAAUCAAUCCAUUCCAAUUGUAAAACAUCAUAAUUCUAACACUAACAAUUGCCAUAUGUAUAUAAAUAUGACAAAUAAUAACUAAGUUUGGAUUAUAGAAAUACAAACCGUAAUUUUCGAGCUAACUCCAGUUGACUUUGUCUUGUCCUUUCUUAGCCGAGAUUUCCGGUACCACAUUGACUACGAAAUUAAUACAAUUCAUAAUCAUUAAUACAUUAAUAAUUUAUAUCUUGAGUUACAGAAUAUUUUUCCUAAAACUAGACUCACAAAUCUUAUUACAAUAAAAUUUUCAGAAUUUUUGGUUUAGCCAUUAAAUACAGUUUAUUCUUUAAAUUCACCCCUAUUCUGCUGUCUGACAGUUUCGUCCCUUCUUCACUAAAAAUUAAUUAUCUCACAAUACAGAACUUGGAUAAUAUUCCCGUUGAUUUCUCCUGAAAAUAGACUCAUUAUGGAUUCUAAACACAUAACUUUAAGCCUCUAAUUAUUUUUCUUAAAUUUUUGGUGAUUUUCCAAAGUCAGAACAGGGAAACCCGAAUUCAUUCUGACCUUAUCUCACAAAAUUCAUUAUAUCUCAUAAGUUACAACUCAAUUGCCGUUUCUUCUAUAAAAAACUAGACUCAAUAAGAUUUAAUUUCAUAUUUUAUUCAUUCUCUAAUUCAAUUUCUACAAUUUUUUGUGAUUUUUCAAACUUAGACUACUGCUGCUGUCCAAAAUAGUCUUAGUACAAAAUAUUGAUUUACUUUAAUUUCAAUUUAAUCCUAACUAAAUUCACUUACUUUUCUAUCUUAAUUCAUACUUUAUUUCUACUCAAUUUUUUAACCAAACUUAGACAUAAUUAUCUAUUUUUCAUCAUAAAACCAUAAUUUUGAAAUUCUUUCAAUUUAGUCCUAAAGCAUAAAACUUAUGAAUCACUUUACAAUUCAAUCCUUAUAUCAUUUCUAACUUGAAUUUCUAUCAAUUUAGCCCUUAAUUCAUCAUUUUAUUUAACAUGAACAAUAUCUAGAAAUCUAAUAACUUUCAAAAUAUCAACUUAGUUUCAUCAAAACUUUGUUCUAAAACUUCUAAAACAUCAAAAUUAAGUAAAAAGGACUUGAUUGACUUACCUAUUAAAGCUUAAAGCUUCAAACCUUCAAUUUUCUCUUUUCUCCCUUUCUUUCUUUCUUUUUCUCCCCUGCUCUCUGUUUCGUUUCAUUUUGUUUCUAUUUCCUUUCUUUUGUUUCUUUAGUUUAUAUAAUAUAAUAUAAUAUAAUAUAAUAUAAUUAAAACAUAAAAUAUCUUUAUUAUAUAAUAAUAUAAUAAUAUAAUAAUAUACUAAACAUAAAAAAAUUCUUAAAUUUUCUUCACGGUACACCGCCUCAAUUUAUACUUUUUGUAUAAUUUCCUUUUUAGUCCUUUUUCUUUUCUUUUAAUCUAUAAUUCAACUUUUACCCCUUAUUCAAUUUAGUCUUUUUUCUUAAUUACUCUUAAUUAAAUUAAAUUAAAUUCACUUAAUUAAACUCUAAUUAACUACUCAUUUUACUUCGUAAAUAUUUUUAAUAAAUAUUUACGAAUCCAUUUUUCAGAAACGGAGACCCGAAAAUAUACUUUUUCGGUAACGGUAAAAUUCGGGUCAUUACAACUGGUAUAAUAGUUAGAAAUGAGGAAGGAAAAGUCCUCUUCUCGUGUUCAGAGAUACAUCAUGAGAUUACCUCAGCUUUUGCUGCUGAAGCAGUAGCAUGCCAGAAAGCAGUUCAAGUAGGGGUAGAAAGGGGUUGGCAGUCUAUUAUCAUUGAAGGUGAUUCCCUCGCAAUAAUCAAAAAAUGCAAGACACAAAGUCAGGAUCGAUCACUAAUAACGUCAUUUAUACAUGAUAUAAAUAGGUGACAAAGGGAUCUAAUAAAGUCAGGUUCAAACACAUACUGAGAAAGGCAAACGCCCUUGCUCAUCUCCUUGCAACAGAAACUUUAAAACGAAAGGGAAGAGGUGUACCUGGAAAUGGAAGUUCCUGCAUAUGCCAAAGAUCAAAAAUGGAUUGACUAGAUGCGAGAACCGGAUUGAGGUGUCUGCUGGGGAAGAAGGAAGGAGGAGGAAAAGCUUCAUUGAAUUUUUUUUUAGAAGAUAAGUUUUGGAAAACUGAAAGCGUCAAUACUGAUGGAAAUGAUGGAAAGACAGUCCACAGUUUUCAGAAUGUUUUGAUUGGCAAUGGUUUGGCGCAUUAACUGCUGUUCCAGAAUUUUCUAUUAAAAUAUCUAGAUAUUUUGUUAUAUUUUUAGGAUAGCUGUUUUAUCAGGUUUUAUAUUGGACCUCUAUUUUUAGGGCCGUGCUAUUUUGAUAGAUUUGGACUAGUAUAUCCAGUGAACAUAUUUGUAUUUACUUUUAUCAUAUUUAUAAAAGCCCAAUCUGACUUAUAAAAAAAAUAUAAUAUUAAAAAAUAAAAAGGUUUUUAAUUCAAAUUUAAUAUUUUUAUUUUAAAUAAAUCUAAUUGCCACAUACAUUUUUCCAUUGGCCAAAGCGGCCUAAUAGAUUUUUUUCUACUGCUGUUACAAAAUGGACCAAAAAUAGAGAAAAUUGAAACUUUAAGUACUAAAUUGGAAGUUUAAGUAUCAAAAUGAAAAAUGAGUAUACUUCAGGGGCUAAAUUGUAAAUUAAGCCAUAUAAAUAUUGUACUAGUUUAUUUAUUUUUUAAAUAUAGGUAAAAAAACAUGUUUAAGGUAUUGAUUUGACAGUAAUGAAACUUCGUUGAAAAACGUGAAAAUUGCUUGUGGCUACCACCGGUACUGGCUGACACCGAAGUAUUGCGUCCAACUGCUUUUACAGUUAUACGUAUUCACCAAUCAUUUGAUUAGAUUCAUAGUUAUUCCAAUCAAUAAACUAUACACUGUUAAUUAUACCGGGUAUAUGUCCGACACACUACAUAUUUAAAAAUAAAAUAUAAUUUCAAUUGAGUCUUAUUUUACAUGGCAUAGUUAUUGUUGUCAGUAUAAGAUGACAUAAGUUGGAGUAUGCUAAAAUGCAUUAGCAUCUUAUUUAAGGGUUAAAGAAGGACUACGAAUAGUUCUAGGUAUUAUAUAAAAAAAAUCCAAUCCCUUCUUUACAUGCUUUUUUUUUCGUUUAGGUAUUCUCCCAAUGAUUUUUCGUAUAUUUUAAUUUCAUCUUCGUGCUUUUAUUUUCAGAAAUUUAGUCUUUUUUCUUUUCAGAUUUCAAAAUUUAGGUCCAAUUGUUAACACCGUUAAAUUCUUUUGUUAAAUAUGCUAAUGUACAUUUUAAAAUUUUUUUAAAAAAAUCACUCGAUAAUUAUGUAAUAAGAAAUGACAUUGUAAUGGAUCUUAAUUAAUUAAAAAAUUUUAAUGAUGUUAACAUUUUUAAAAAGUCAUAAUAAGUUUUCAAUAAGAAGAAAUUAUAGGCUAAGUAAUGAUAUUAUAAUAAUUGAGAUAUUAAAUUAUAUAAAAAUUUAAAAUAUAAAGAUUAAAUAUUGAAUUCAAAAGUUGUAUAAGGACCAUUUUUUUCAAAAAAGGUCAACAUCAAAGGAUUUGAUUGAUAGCUGUCGCAUAGACAUUUAAGGAUUGAUUUUUUUUAUUCGAAUUUAGACCGAUUGUUAUUAUUAUCAUUAUGUACUAAAUAUAAAUUAAUCAUUAAAAAAUAUCAAAUUGUAUACUUUUUAAUAAUUUUAUUAUUUUUAAAUUUUUUAAAUUUUAAAAAAUUACAAUUACUGAUGCCACAUUCAUAAGACAAUUUAUGUAUAUAUUACAUUAACAAAUUAAUAAAAUUAAAAAAGACGAAAAAUUAAAUAAAAAUUUAAAAUAGUUAUUUUUAUAAAAUUAGAAGACGAGAUGCUAUGAGCAGGUGCACAAUUAUAUAUAAAAUUAUAAACAUCACUAUAUUUAUACUUUAAUUUGUACUUAGAAACUUGAAAAAAAAUUAUAUUGUUGAAUCUAAGAGCUAAUCAAUCCAUGGGUGAUUUUAGAAAGUGAUGCUUGUACAUUGUUUUUAUAAAUUGAUAGAGUUGAGAUUUUAAUAAUUUAAUCGAUGUAAUUAACAGCUUAUAAUUAAAAAUAUUUUGACUUGGUAAAAAUGAAAAAUUCAAAAAUAAAAAACUAGUUAAAAGUGAAAAAAAGAAAUUAAUUUUUUUAUUUAUUUCUAACCAAAAAAUUGAAAUUAAAAUAUAUUUUAGUUAAUUUGAUAUUCCUACUAUUAGAAAAGGGAGUGGGUGGAGGCCAACAAAAGGUAGUCUCCAACCCUCAUUUACCAACAGACCCUUCCGAGAAAUAAAUGGAAGAGUUCCCAUCAAAAUAGUUUUCUCAAUAGUUUAAUAACUCCUUACUUUUGAGGCCUCUAGUAUUUUACUAGAAAUUCGUGGAGAAUAUAUAAAUUGAGUUUUCAAGUUGAAGUUAAUUUAAAUUUUACAAUUCGAAAAUGUGAAAAUUGAUUCUUCUCAAAAAUAAAAAUAUUUAAAAUAUUUUAAAAAUAAUUUUUCCAAACAUUCAUAAAUGUAUAUUAAAAAAUUACUAAAAAUCCUAAAAGAUAUAUAAAAUUACUAAUUAUAAUUUUUUGACAUAAUGAUUUUUUGGACCAUUCAACUUUACACUUAGCCUUCCAUUUAAAUUUUUGUCUAUUUUAAUUCUUGAAUUUAUAUUUUUUUUGUCAAAACACCUUAAAUUGGAUGAGAAAGUUAAUAUUUGGUAACAUUGCUUAUGUGACAUAGACGUAGGUUAUGACAUAGAUGUCACAUCAAUAAUUAAUUUUAAAAUUUUAAAAAAAUAUUUUUUAUAUAAUUUGAAUAAUUUUUAAUUUUCAAAAAUAAUUUUUUAUGGUUUUUUUGAAUUUUAAAAAUAAUUAAAUGUUAAUGUAUCUACACAAAAUAAAUAAAAAAAUGUUAGCUUUUUUUUUUAUAACACAAGCUUAAGGAUUAAAAAAAGGUAAAAAAUGAAAUGAAUAGCUAACUGACUUUUCUGUAAAGUUAGAGGGCUAAAUAAGUGAUUAUACUUUUUUAAAAAAAAUUCUAAAAUGAUAAAUUUGAGGCUUAAAACAAGUAAAUUAUGAAAUCAUGUUUAUCAUAUUAUCUUGUUUUAUUUUCUUAUUUUAUUUUAGAAGAGUUUUCAAACAUACAUGAUAUUUAUAUUUUUUAAUUUGGAAUUUAGUAUUAUUGUCUACAAGAUUUCAAUAGGAUCUGUUUAAUUUUUUAAAAUUUAAUUCUAAUAAAUUUAUUUGACACAGCUCGACUCAAAUCUUAUUUUACUCGACUUAAUUUAAGAAAAUUUUGAAUUGAAUUAGAAUGAUAGAAUAAGACUCGUUAACUUAACUAAGUGACUAAAUUUUUUCACUCCAAUAGAUUUUAUGUUAUAAUUGAAACUUCUUAAAGCUCACAAUAAGACAAUAAUGAAGGUAAGAAAAGGAUUUGAUAAUUUUUUAAUAAUUAAAAAUCAAUCAAAUGUGAGGAAUUAUUGAAAUUAAGAAUUGUGUUAUAAAUAUAGGAGAGAGAUUGAGUGCACGGGUGUAAAACAUAAAUAGUUUUACAUCUUUUUGUAUAUUUUUAUAGAAAUAAUAUUUGCAUGUCAAUUUGUUAUCGUUGAUUCCGAUACAUAGAAAGACAUUGAUUCCAAUAAUAACAAUUUAUUAUAAAUAGAAACGGAAUUCAUUAAAGAAACAUUAAAAAGGGCAAAGAGAAAAGAAAACAAGUAACUCAAAAAUGAUUUAAUUUGAGUUAUUGUAGGCAUUAAACCAUGAAUUUUACCAAACCUGAGUUUAUCUUUUAUUCUUUUUUCUUAAAUUAUUGGAAAUAAAACAUGAAAAAAGAAAACCUGAAGGACUACCUGUUGACAUCAAUUUAAUUCAAGAGGGGAUAUGAAAAUUAUAUAUUAUAGUUUUAUCGUAAUUAAAAAAUUUACACAAUAGAAAAACACCAAGUUGCAUGUGACUAGUAAUAAGCCAAAAGCAAAAAGUAGCCAACUAAUUGACUCCUUGUCUUUACAUUAUGUUGCUGCCAAACAAGUUUGAUUAGUGGGUGGAGCUGAAUCUCACAUGCUUUGACCUAACCUCUUCAUUUAUUUAGUCUAUAUAUUCCGAACCAAAGCUGGUUUUCAGAAUGUACCACUACCACUGGUGUCUCUUCAUAUUUGGUCCUUCCGGUAAUUCACCAUGCCAUCAUUCGAUACUAUCCUCCUUCGGGAUUUGGUAGCUGCAGCCUGCCUCUUCUUUAUCACACGUUAUUUCAUCCGUCGUCUUCUCAGUAACCCCAAACGAACACUUCCUCCGGGUCCGAAAGGGUGGCCGGUUGUGGGUGCUCUUCCACUCUUAGGUUCCAUGCCCCAUGUCGAACUAGCCAAGUUAGCCAAGAAGUAUGGACCUGUAAUGUACCUCAAAAUGGGAACCUGCAACAUGGUGGUGGCUUCAACCCCGGAUACCGCUCGAGCUUUCCUUAAGACCCUUGACUUGAAUUUCUCUAAUCGACCAUCCAAUGCUGGUGCCACCCACAUAGCCUAUAACUCUCAAGACAUGGUGUUUGCUGAGUAUGGUCCGAGGUGG
Molecule: long non-coding RNA, 29145 nt
Filed under: Gossypium barbadense (sea-island cotton)
Lineage: Eukaryota; Viridiplantae; Streptophyta; Magnoliopsida; Malvales; Malvaceae
Description: long non-coding RNA (GBAR_LNC006180)
Source: RNAcentral